Long non-coding RNA from Gymnodraco acuticeps, 3011 nucleotides. RefSeq lists it as uncharacterized. The transcript is spliced from 4 exons. The record is from RefSeq and is a predicted model, not a curated record. NCBI's taxonomy places the organism in Eukaryota, Metazoa, Chordata, Actinopteri, Perciformes, Bathydraconidae.
GGUUACGUCAGUCAUUUUGAUUGCAUUCUUCAUGAGGUGUAAAUAUUGACUUCCUCUUGUUUCAGGGUGGGUGUGGACCCGGAUCAGGACCAGCAGCCGUGCACAGACAGCUUCCAGGUCCUGCAGGGGGAGGGGCCUCAGGCUGAAGGACAGAGUAAAACCAAACAGGAGAGCGCCUGGCUCUUCAGACUGUGGUACACCUUCGAUCACAAUUACCUGAAGCCCAUCCUGACGCACAGCGGCCCCCCCCCUCACCUCCACGCUGCCCGCAUACUGCAGCCCGCUGGCGAGCUGUCUGACCAGCCAGCAGGCGUACGAGAACCAGCUGAGGGACGACCCUGACUUUAUGCGUGGCGACGGCGGCGGCGACCUUUCCUUCACGUUUGGAGACACCACCAUCACGGCCAAUGGGGCGUCUGGCAGUGGGGGGGCGGGUGGAGGAGGGGGGGAAACAGCCGGAGCGUCGGGCUGGAGCAUGAACGGCAGGAGGAGCGGCAGUACCUCGGAGGAGGCGCUGGAGCGCGAGCUGGACUCCCGUGAACAAGAACUGCUGAGCCGGGGAACUCGACUUGUUUUCCCCAUCGAGGAUCACAUCUGACCGCCAUGUUUGUAGUCCUUCAGAGAUGAGAGGUAUUAUGGGAGGAUAAGACGGGAGAGUGCCCCGGGAGCAGAGCUCGAGAAGAUAUUCAUGCUCCAGGAGACGUGCAUCCUCUCCAUCCACCUUCACUGAUUGUUUCCUUGCAUUAUCAGAAGGACAACAAAUGUCACCUGCCAGAUUCAGGCUGUUUUUGAACAUGUGACACUGUGCGUGCAGCCGAAAAAGAAGAAGACUCAUCCUGAGAUCCGACCAAAAUGCUUCUUCGCCAUCACGCCCCAUCUACGCCCUGAACCCCAAACUUUGAUUUUAUAAUUCCUCUUUGUACCAUUCAUCCGAAGCUGCUGACAGUGUUUGGUCUGUUUGUGAGGAUGCCCUUUUUUGCUUCACAAACACGCUCUUGUGUGGAGGGGAUUGUGGGGACCGUGAAUGUGUUCGGCCAACACCACUCAUCAUGGGUGAAUCAGCGCGGGUGGAGAAUGUAAAUAGCUACAAUGCAGAGCUUUGUUCCCGCUUCUUGUCAGUGCAUUUCGUCCCAUGACUGUUACAAAAUGCAUCUGUUGUGUCCAAGUGUCUGAGCUGGAUCUUUGUCUCUGCCAAGGCACAGUUUGUCCAUUCGUCUGCAGAACAACGACUGGCCCGAUUUUCAUGAAACUUGGUGGAAGGUUGCAACACGAGACAGAGAAGAAAACAUUUAAAUUAUGAUUUAAUCUGUAUAAUGGGGUUGAAACACAAACUAAGAUAAACUUCCAUUAGCAAUGGAAGAUCAAGCAUUAAUGCGGCUUUCAUGUAGAACGGUGAAAGUCAGGGGGCAUUUUGGUACGCAUUUGAUAUCUUACCCGAUUCCUCUGCUCCCCACUGUUAUGAAUAAAUACUGGAAACACUAAAAUAGGCCUUCAAUACAUCUUCUUUUUGGAGUCAAUGUUCUUUCCCCAUUUCGAUUUGAAACUCAUGCACUCUGCCUUGGUGGGGGUCUGCAUCUUCUAGCUUCCUAUUAGCAUGUUGCACAGGCUGAGCAUGAAGUUAGCAUAACAAGGGCUCCCUCCACAAAAACCAAAAAGGAUUUGGAUUAUUGCAGAAAAUAAUCUCGGUUUCAAAAUCCCAUUUAUGAUAUUUACACAUUUUGCUCAGCAGGAUAAUCUCCCCGUAUUAACACCACUUAAUGAGCAUUCAAGUAAAAAGCUAACGUUAGGCUAUAAAGGUAAAACAGCGUGGUCACAUAACUUCACGCCACCACCGCUAAGCUAAAGGCGGCUAAUGUUGGGUGUGAUGACGUUAAAAUCUCUUCAGCUUGUGUUAACCACAGACCUUAUUUCAGGUUAACAACCAAAAUAACAUAAAAAAUAACCCUCGACUUCGAGACUAGGAUACCGAAAAUGCUAGAAUGAAAAGAAAUGUCUGAUUUAUUUCUGCACCACUCAAUGAAGGCAAAUUCAACAUUAUAAAAGUAAAGAGCGUAGACCUCCUAAGUACAUCUAUCUCACAUUUACUUGCUUCACCUUCACACUAAAUUUCAUGAAGAGUGGGUUAGUCGUUUUUACGUAAUCCUGAACACAGUUAAACAAAAAGUAAGCUUCUCGGCGUAGUUGUUUUUUUUCAUGCAUCAAUUUGUGUUUGACUUUAACUAACAAUCAUUUUCAUUAUCAAUUAAUCUGUUGAUGAUUUUUCAAAUGUUAUGGAUUUGUUGUUUAGUUCAUGAAUGAGAGAAAAUAGUAAAACAUCUCCAUCACCAUUUAUAAGAACUUGUUCAAAUCGCUUGUUUUGUUCAGAUGUCUUUCAUCAAAUUCUCCAUCAAUAAGAGUUCAACUUUAAAUGUAACUGUUCUAACUUUCUGAAACCUAUAAUCCCAAAUAAAGAAGAGCAGCCACUUUUAACAAAUACUGACCAUGGUGCCAAGUGCUCGAAAACAACCUUAUAAUCAGCGUUAUUUACGUUAUUUCCCCCAUAUAGAAAUACACGGUAAUAAACUCUGAUUACAUUAAACCUGAUUCCCCAUUUAUCUGAUAAUGCACAUAAUAAGUAGAAACACAGGUUUUCCUGUUAAGCGCUCUUAUUUAUUAUGAAAGGAAGCAUCUUGAUUCUUGUUUGAAUUAAGUUACAAUAUUCCUCCCACAGCUAAUCUGAGCAGUUUUUAAUGAGACGUUAGAGAGCAACUUGUGCAUGAGUCUCUGUAUUCAUUGACAUUUUCUCACAACUGAUCAAUAUGGUUUGCAUCUUCACUCCAUGUGAAUUAUUAAUUAUUUAUACUGCAUAGAUAAAGCUAAUAUGACCUUCUGAUUACACAGGGUUUCUGCAGGUUUCUAAAUGUUUUGGGGUCAAACGGGCUCAAGGAAAAUGAGUAUGAAUGAAAAUAUGUCCUAGACUAACUUACGUACAUGCAUAUAUUAAAAUCUGUCAAUAAAACUAUAUUAAUUGA